GACGAACGCUGGCGGCGUGCUUAACACAUGCAAGUCGAACGGAAAGGCCCUGCUUUUGUGGGGUGCUCGAGUGGCGAACGGGUGAGUAACACGUGAGUAACCUGCCCUUGACUUUGGGAUAACUUCAGGAAACUGGGGCUAAUACCGGAUAGGAGCUCCUGCUGCAUGGUGGGGGUUGGAAAGUUUCGGCGGUUGGGGAUGGACUCGCGGCUUAUCAGCUUGUUGGUGGGGUAGUGGCUUACCAAGGCUUUGACGGGUAGCCGGCCUGAGAUGGUGACCGGCCACAUUGGGACUGAGAUACGGCCCAGACUCCUACGGGAGGCAGCAGUGGGGAAUGGUGCACAAUGGGCGGAAGCAUGAUGCAGCAACGCAGCGUGCGGGAUGACGGCCUUCGGGUUGUAAACCGAUUUCGCCUGUGACGAAGCGUGAGUGACGGUAAUGGGUAAAGAAGCACCGGCUAACUACGUG
RNAcentral lists this ribosomal RNA (468 nucleotides) under uncultured bacterium. Its description in RNAcentral is "partial 16S ribosomal RNA". It matches the Rfam family "Bacterial small subunit ribosomal RNA", at positions 28 to 507 of the family's 1533-position model. The record is from RNAcentral.